Molecule: ribosomal RNA, 484 nt
Filed under: uncultured bacterium
Lineage: Bacteria
Description: partial 16S ribosomal RNA
Rfam family: Bacterial small subunit ribosomal RNA
Source: RNAcentral
AUUGAACGCUGGCGGCAGGCCUAACACAUGCAAGUCGAGCGGAUGAAGGGAGCUUGCUCCUGGAUUCAGCGGCGGACGGGUGAGUAAUGCCUAGGAAUCUGCCUGGUAGUGGGGGAUAACGUCCGGAAACGGGCGCUAAUAUCGCAUACGUCCUGAGGGAGAAAGUGGGGGAUCUUCGGACCUCACGCUAUCAGAUGAGCCUAGGUCGGAUUAGCUAGUUGGUGGGGUAAAGGCCUACCAAGGCGACGAUCCGUAACUGGUCUGAGAGGAUGAUCAGUCACACUGGAACUGAGACACGGUCCAGACUCCUACGUGAGGCAGCAGUGGGGAAUAUUGGACAAUGGGCGAAAGCCUGAUCCAGCCAUGCCGCGUGUGUGAAGAAGGUCUUCGGAUUGUAAAGCACUUUAAGUUGGGAGGAAGGGCAGUAAGUUAAUACCUUGCUGUUUUGACGUUACCAACAGAAUAAGCACCGGCUAACUUCGUG